This 253-nucleotide ribosomal RNA is filed under the name uncultured bacterium. RNAcentral describes it as "partial 16S ribosomal RNA". It matches the Rfam family "Bacterial small subunit ribosomal RNA", at positions 524 to 776 of the family's 1533-position model. The record is from RNAcentral.
UACGUAGGGUGCGAGCGUUAAUCGGAAUUACUGGGCGUAAAGCGUGCGCAGGCGGUUCGUUGUGUCGGUGGUGAAAGCCCCGGGCUUAACCUGGGAAUGGCCGUCGAAACUGGCGAACUGGAGUGUGGCAGAGGGGGGUGGAAUUCCGCGUGUAGCAGUGAAAUGCGUAGAGAUGUGGAGGAACACCGAUGGCGAAGGCAACCCCCUGGGACGAUACUGACGCUGAGGCACGAAAGCGUGGGGAGCAAACAGG